This 253-nucleotide ribosomal RNA is filed under the name uncultured bacterium. Its description in RNAcentral is "partial 16S ribosomal RNA". It matches the Rfam family "Bacterial small subunit ribosomal RNA", at positions 524 to 776 of the family's 1533-position model. The record is from RNAcentral.
UACGUAGGGUGCGAGCGUUGUCCGGAAUUACUGGGCGUAAAGAGCUCGUAGGUGGUUUGUCGCGUUGUUCGUGAAAACCGGGGGCUUAACCCUCGGCGUGCGGGCGAUACGGGCAGACUUGAGUACUGCAGGGGAGACUGGAAUUCCUGGUGUAGCGGUGGAAUGCGCAGAUAUCAGGAGGAACACCGAUGGCGAAGGCAGGUCUCUGGGCAUUAACUGACGCUGAGGAGCGAAAGCAUGGGGAGCGAACAGG